RNAcentral lists this non-coding RNA (83 nucleotides) under Butyricicoccus pullicaecorum. RNAcentral's name for it is "ZTP sequence". It matches the Rfam family "ZMP/ZTP riboswitch aptamer (pfl RNA motif)". Rfam says of the family: Previously known as pfl RNA. Lineage: Bacteria; Bacillati; Bacillota; Clostridia; Eubacteriales; Butyricicoccaceae. RNAcentral also lists the same sequence under 1 other name. The record is from RNAcentral.
CCCAGAUCAUAUGACUGACGGAAUCGUGGGGCUCACCACAUGAAGUAUGAUCCUGUUUUUUGCCGACCGUCUGGGCACAGUUG